RNAcentral lists this ribosomal RNA (405 nucleotides) under uncultured bacterium. RNAcentral's name for it is "partial 16S ribosomal RNA". It matches the Rfam family "Bacterial small subunit ribosomal RNA", at positions 30 to 526 of the family's 1533-position model. The record is from RNAcentral.
AUUGAACGCUAGCGGGAUGCUUUACACAUGCAAGUCGAACGAGUGGCGGACGGGUGAGUCAUAUAUCGGAAAGUGCCCCGUAGAGGGGGAUAACUACUGGAAAGGGUGGCUAAUACCGCAUACUAUUGGAUCUGCCCAUAUGGGAUUAGCUAGUUGGUGGGGUAAAGGCUCACCAAGGCGACGAUCCGUAGCUGGUUUGAGAGGAUGACCAGCCACACUGGGACUGAGACACGGCCCAGACUCCUACGGGAGGCAGCAGUGGGGAAUAUUGGACAAUGGGGGAAACCCUGAUCCAGCCAUCCCGCGUGUAUGAGAAGGCCUUCGGGUUGUAAAGUACUUUUGGCAGAGAGGCGUUAUCUGCAGAAUAAGCACCGGCUAACUCCGUGCCAGCAGCCGCGGUAAUUC